ACACUCCUGCGGGAGGCAGCAGUGGGGAAUUUUGGACAAUGGGCGAAAGCCUGAUCCAGCAAUGCCGCGUGAGUGAAGAAGGCCUUCGGGUUGUAAAGCUCUUUUGUCAGGGAAGAAACGGUGAGAGCUAAUAUCUCUUGCUAAUGACGGUACCUGAAGAAUAAGCACCGGCUAACUACGUGCCAGCAGCCGCGGUAAUACGUAGGGUGCAAGCGUUAAUCGGAAUUACUGGGCGUAAAGCGUGCGCAGGCGGUUUUGUAAGUCUGAUGUGAAAUCCCCGGGCUCAACCUGGGAAUUGCAUUGGAGACUGCAAGGCUAGAAUCUGGCAGAGGGGGGUAGAAUUCCACGUGUAGCAGUGAAAUGCGUAGAUAUGUGGAGGAACACCGAUGGCGAAGGCAGCCCCCUGGGUCAAGAUUGACGCUCAUGCACGAAAGCGUGGGGAGCAAACAGGAUUAGAAACCCUGGUAGUCCC
RNAcentral lists this ribosomal RNA (472 nucleotides) under uncultured organism. Its description in RNAcentral is "partial 16S ribosomal RNA". It matches the Rfam family "Bacterial small subunit ribosomal RNA", at positions 333 to 797 of the family's 1533-position model. The record is from RNAcentral.